UUUCCGUAGGUGAACCUGCGGAAGGAUCAUUCAUAAUAAGUGUUUUAUGGCACUUUUUUAAAUCCAUAUCCACCUUGUGUGCAAUGUCAGGGUUGAUUUUUCUCUCGAGAGGAUCAACCCCAAACAUCAACUAUAUCUCAACUCUUUGUCUGAAAAAUAUUAUGAAUAAAACAAUUCAAAAUACAACUUUCAACAACGGAUCUCUUGGUUCUC
Molecule: unclassified non-coding RNA, 213 nt
Filed under: plant metagenome
Description: partial contains small subunit ribosomal RNA, internal transcribed spacer 1, and 5.8S ribosomal RNA
Source: RNAcentral